Molecule: transfer RNA, 92 nt
Filed under: Saccharimonas aalborgensis (SeqCode)
Lineage: Bacteria; Candidatus Saccharimonadota; Candidatus Saccharimonadia; Saccharimonadales (SeqCode); Saccharimonadaceae (SeqCode)
Also listed under: 2 other names
Description: Candidatus Saccharimonas aalborgensis tRNA-Ser (GGA) (tRNA-Ser-GGA-1-1)
Rfam family: tRNA
About the family: Transfer RNA (tRNA) molecules are approximately 80 nucleotides in length. Their secondary structure includes four short double-helical elements and three loops (D, anti-codon, and T loops).
Source: RNAcentral
GGAGAGGUGACCGAGUGGUUGAAGGUGCACGCCUGGAAAGUGUGUGUGCGGGGCAACCCGCACCGUGAGUUCGAAUCUCAUCCUCUCCGCCA